Molecule: long non-coding RNA, 2100 nt
Filed under: Daucus carota (carrot)
Lineage: Eukaryota; Viridiplantae; Streptophyta; Magnoliopsida; Apiales; Apiaceae
Description: long non-coding RNA (DCAR_LNC007103)
Source: RNAcentral
AAGGGAUAUAUUUUAUUUACUAGUAGCUAAUUUAGUUAUAUGUAAAAUUAGUUUCAACUUAAAACAGGUUUAGUGUGUAUCCUACUUAUGAUGGUAGUGACUAUGUAUGUUGACUGUGUGUACAAUCUAGCUGUUAGUAGUUGCAGCUAGAUAUUAUUGCUAGUUAGGUGGGAGUUGAACUACUAAUUUUACCUGGCUGUGUUGGUCUGUGAACAGCCUAUUUAUAUGCAUGUAUUAGCUCCUUAUGGAGGGAGACUUUGAUUAUAUAUAUAACUUCUUCUCUGAAUAUUGAUAAUGUAUCAAUUUGGGGAUAGCUUGGGGUAGAGAUUGUCCUGCGGUUCAAUCUCCCGAGGUUUAUAAUCACUGUUCUUGUUGCGCUUAUCAUUAUCUUGUUAUUAUAAUCUUAUUCUUGUCAUUGUGCUGCGUCAAAUUGGCGUCAGAGCUAAAAUUCUGGUUGUUAUCAUUGUUAAAGUUCAUCCUACUGUUACUGUUCAUCAGCUGCUGUAUUCACCCUGAUUUCUGUCCAAACCUGACCAAUUCUACAUAUAAUCCAGAAACCUAAUUUCAGUCCUUGAAUACCAUUCCUCUUUACCAAACAAUCAGGAAUAUAACACCAUCAUAUCACUACCAUGGCACCACCAGAUUCAACCACUUCCAUUUGCUGCCCAGUAACCUACAAAGCUGCACCACUCUUUUUUUUUUUUUAAACCUUUAAACACUCGGUUUCAGUUCUCACAACGCAAUCCAUACACUUACUAAUUGAAACAAGCAUCACACCCACAAUUACUCACCAAAGCAGAAAAGAUAACAGGUCUGGGAAAAGAGAUCAAGAAAGAUCAUAGAGAGAAGCAACAGGGAGGAAAAUUGACAAGAAAGAAAAAAGGAGAAAAAGAAACUUAUUGAAAGCGGCUGCUUUUCUAAACUGCUGCUGCGUUUAAAACAAAUAUGUGCAGCCUUUGUAACCUCUGAUCUACUGACUGUUCAGACCCUUAAACUUCUGAAUUUGAGAAAAUCAGCCCCAAUUCUGUCUAUUAAAUCAUGUCCAAGCGUAUAAAGUCUGGAAUUGAGAUAGUAAAGGAUAAUAUACACUGUCUUCAGGAUGAAUGUGAUUCCUUACACUAUGAGAUUUAUGCCUGUUAUCAUCGAAACAAGCUAUUUGAAUAUGAGCUUACAUUGAAGGAGUUAGAUAAAUCAUAUUAUGAACUUGAAAACUUGAAACAAAAGUACAAAGUUCAAUUGAGAAAAGAAGAAGAGGAAAAGAGUGAGAAGAGACAACAGAGGUUUUAUGAAAUGUUUAUACCUCAACUUCUUAGCGGGAAUCACAAAUCCAAUUUGGAGAAGGAAGAAAUAGUCAAAGGAGAUGAAAUUGCACUGGAAAUCAAUCAUGUUGAAGAUAAAAAUACAGAAAAUCAGUUGCGCGAGGAUAAUGUGCUUGUUUCAGAUUCUUUGGAUUGCAAAGAGCACAAAACAGACAUUUUUGUGGAAUCUUUUGCAGAAAGUGUUCCAGUUGUUCAAGAGGAAAAAAUGGCCGAUGAUGAUAUUAUUGAGGUUGAACACAUCGAGUUCAUCAUUCCAGAAAUUUGUUUAAAUAUCCUUCACAGGCAGAUCAGUUUCCAACGUUAUUUGAGAACAGAGUUGAUACUUUUGAAGAAGUGCAUAAAGGUCUUUUUGGUUCCGUCGCAAUCUUACAUGACUCUUGCCUUCUACAAAACUCGUGGUCGAGUUUUUUCUAACAAGGGGAGAAUGAUGGGGAAUAAUAACAAAAGGGAUAUAUUUUAUUUACUAGUAGCUAAUUUAGUUAUAUGUAAAAUUAGUUUUAACUUAAAACAGGUUUAGUGUGUAUCCUACUUAUGAUGGUAGUGACUAUGUAUGUUGACUGUGUGUACAAUCUAGCUGUUAGUAGUUGCAGCUAGAUAUUAUUGCUAGUUAGGUGGGAGUUGAACUACUAAUUUUACCUGGCUGUGUUGGUCUGUGAACAGCCUAUUUAUAUGCAUGUAUUAGCUCCUUAUGGAGGGAGACUUUGAUUAUAUAUAUAACUUCUUCUCUGAAUAUUGAUAAUGUAUCAAUUUGGGGAUAGCUUGGGGUAGAGAUUGUCCUGCG